CCUACGGGUGGCUGCAGUGGGGAAUAUUGCACAAUGGGGGGAACCCUGAUGCAGCAAUGCCGCGUGGGUGAAGAAGCACUCCGGUGCGUAAAGCCCUGUCAGCAGGGGAGAAAAUUACGGUACCUGGGCAAUAAGCCCCGUCUAACUACGUGCCAGCAGCCGCGGUAAAACGUAGGGAGCAAGCGUUAUCCGGAUUUACUGAGUGUAAAGGGAGCGCAGGCGGGUUGGAAAGUCAGAUGUGAAGCCCCGGGGCCCAACCCCGGGAGUGCAUUUGAAACUGCCAGGCUGGAGUGCCGUAGAGGUAAGCGGAAUUCGUAGUGUAGCGGUGAAAUGCGUAGAUAUUAGGAGGAACACCAGUGGCGGAGGCGGCUUACUGGACGGUAACUGACGCUGAGGCUCGAAAGCGUGGGGAGCAAACAGGAUUAGAUACCCUUGUAGUC
RNAcentral lists this ribosomal RNA (440 nucleotides) under uncultured bacterium. Its description in RNAcentral is "partial 16S ribosomal RNA". It matches the Rfam family "Bacterial small subunit ribosomal RNA", at positions 338 to 795 of the family's 1533-position model. The record is from RNAcentral.